Long non-coding RNA from Rhagoletis zephyria (snowberry fruit fly), 401 nucleotides. RefSeq lists it as uncharacterized. NCBI's taxonomy places the organism in Eukaryota, Metazoa, Arthropoda, Insecta, Diptera, Tephritidae. The record is from RefSeq and is a predicted model, not a curated record.
UCUCCACCUCCGAAAAACAAAAGAAAAAAGCCAGAAAGCUCACCACUCGACUUAUUCCAGGAAUUACCAAUAGCAAAGAAGGAUGAUCCCAAGUAUCUCACAAUCAAAUCAAAGGAUGACAAAAAAACUAUCGCAUCCACCUCUUGCUUCGCAGUAUAUAAAGGUAUUCAAUCCAUUAGCAAAGACGUUAACAAGAUCACAUCUCUUCGAGAUGGCAGCCUACUACUGCUGGUCAAAAACCAAAAAAUUGCUGACAAAUUUCUUUCAACAAAAAAUCUUCCUGGUGCUGGUGCUGUUGAAAUUUCGCUUCAUAGCACUCUUAAUACCGUGAAGGGUACGAUUUACGCUCCUUACCAGCUAUCGUCCGAUUUCCCUUUUACCCUGCCUAGGAAAACUUUUAG